RNAcentral lists this microRNA precursor (93 nucleotides) under Bigelowiella natans CCMP2755. RNAcentral describes it as "miRNA EPrBNAG00000013413". The record is from RNAcentral. Lineage: Eukaryota; Cercozoa; Chlorarachniophyceae.
UCAUGAUGAUGAUGAUGAUGAUGAUGGUGAUGAUGAUGGUGUUGAUAAGAAAAUAAAAAAUUGUCAUUCUUAUCAUUAUCCUCAUCUUCCUCA